RNAcentral lists this ribosomal RNA (207 nucleotides) under uncultured bacterium. RNAcentral's name for it is "partial 16S ribosomal RNA". It matches the Rfam family "Bacterial small subunit ribosomal RNA", at positions 568 to 774 of the family's 1533-position model. The record is from RNAcentral.
CGCGUAGGCGGUCUUUUAAGUCAGAUGUGAAAGCCCGGGGCUCAACCUCGGAAGUGCAUUUGAAACUAAAGGACUUGAGUAUGGGAGAGGGAAGUGGAAUUCCUGGUGUAGAGGUGAAAUUCGUAGAUAUCAGGAGGAACACCGGUGGCGAAGGCGACUUCCUGGACCAAUACUGACGCUGAGGCGCGAAGGCGUGGGUAGCAAACA